This 173-nucleotide ribosomal RNA is filed under the name uncultured Comamonadaceae bacterium. RNAcentral describes it as "partial 16S ribosomal RNA". It matches the Rfam family "Bacterial small subunit ribosomal RNA", at positions 1214 to 1382 of the family's 1533-position model. Lineage: Bacteria; Pseudomonadati; Pseudomonadota; Betaproteobacteria; Burkholderiales; Comamonadaceae. The record is from RNAcentral.
CUACACACGUCAUACAAUGGCUGGUAACGAAAGGGUUGACCCAACCCGCGAGGGGGAGCCAAUCCCAUAAAGCCAGUCGUAGUCCGGAUCGCAGUCUGCAACUCGACUGCGUGAAGUCGGAAUCGCUAGUAAUCGUGGAUCAGCAUGUCACGGUGAAUACGUUCCCGGGUCUU